AAAUAAUUAAAAGUGAUAAAUAAAUUUUUAAAUGCACAAAUAAAGUUUUUAGGCUAAGUGAAUGGGUCCUCCAAAACUGAGUGAGCACACUUAACUGCAUAAUAGUAUGUAAUCAGAUAUCAAGUUGGGAAACAUGAUUUAUUGUCAGAAUAUAGACACUUGAACUCCUCAGGUAAGAGGCUUGAGGACAUAAAAUACAUUAGUGGGUAAUAGUAAAAUGUUAAUAACUGCAAAAUGAGUUACUAAAAUUGUUUGCAUAGACCCACUACUGGCUAUUGAACCCAUCUUUUACUAUCAAGUAAAAGAAAUGGGUUCAAUAGCCUUUGUUCAGAUCUCUCUUGAAAAAUUCAGGUAGUAUGGAAGCUGAAUUUGGAAGAAUUGAAUCCAAAUCUUCCAAGAUAAAAAGCAUAGCACAUUUUCAUUACCAUCUAUCCAAUCAACUUUCAAUCUCAGAAGUUUCAUGAUUGUGUUCAGCUUAAAGAAGGAUUAACACUCUGACUAAAAUUAUUGGUAAUGGGUUUUACUUCCUGGUUGUUUUAUUUUCCCUCCUUUACAAUUUAGCAUUUUAAGUUCAAUGGAAGAGAAAAACAAACAUUUAAACUUUCAGACUGUGAAGAGAAAAUUGAGUGAGAGGUAAGAGUUAAGAGAGUUGACACUGUAGCAAGUAGAGCAUAGAAAAGAGGAAAACAAAAAUCUCAUGAAAGGCAGUGAGAGUGUGCCGGAUUUGGUGGGCUCCUAGUUUUUAGUUUGUCGAUGGAUCUCAACAGAUGAUAAUUUCCAUCAUGAUUUGAUUUCCUGAAGAUUUUGUAUAAGUAGAACGGACAGUGUUGGACUUCUAGAAUGCUCUGAGUUGACCAUUUGGACAUUUCUUCUAUGGGAUCUCACAGUCACGCCCCCAUAUUUUGUUUAUUGCAUGUUGUCUCAUUCAUGUCUCUAGAUGAAUGGUUUUUUUUUUAGGCACAUUAUAUUGUAAAUAAACUUAAGUAAAGUUUAUUUACAACUCACCAGUCAUUUACUUGUAUAUAGUAAAUGACUUGUGAGUCCAUAGAAGUGUGAUUUCAACAAAUAAACUAAUUUAAGUCUAUAAGUGGAGUUGACACCACAACACAUCACAAACUUUACUUCUGUAUAAGAAAAUAGAUUGCCAAAUAAUUUAGUAUAGAAAAGUAGCUUGCAUAGUAAAAAAAAAGGUUGAAGAUUACAUGGUCUAUGCCAUUGCAGAUAUGGGUGGUUUAUGGUGUUGUAGAAUAGCUUCACUAUUUAGUAUUCAGCAGAAUGCAGAUUAAUAUAAAUUCUAGAAAGAAAGAAGAAACAUUUAUUUAAAAUGAUAUUCAAAUUACUUUGCCAAAUGUAUGCUCCUUUGACAUAAUAAUACUGUCAAAGAAACAUACUCAUAGAAGAGGCAUAUUCAGGUUUUAAUCCUCUGACAAAAUGAGCAUAGGAAAGGCAAAAAAUUUUGCCAGAAGAAUGUGGCAGAUCACUAGCAGGAAAAAGAAAUAAUCUUUUAGUCAUUUUUUAUGAGAUAAAUGAGACAGAGAUCAAAUUCUAUCUCCAUCCACAGGAAAUAGAAAGAAAGAAAUUAGAAAUGAGAUCAUUAAAUAAGUAUGGGCAGCCUGUUAGAGCAUUGGAAUUCCCUGCCACUUAGUAUUUAAUAGGAUAGAAAGUUGCAUAAAAUUUAAUAGGAAAAAGGACAUUGUAGGACUUUUGCAAGAUCUUCAAUAUCUUAGAUACAAUUAUUCCGUACUCUAGGACAGAAAUUAUUGUCAAAAUGGUGAAAGAUAUCUAGUGGAAAGUUUAUGCUCUGUUUUUGAUAGAUAUUCAGAACUGAGAAUCUAUUCCAGAUUUCAAUCUUAUUAUCCAAUCAAUAAAGAAAACUUAGAUAUAAAAAAAAUUUAAUUUCAUAGUCAAUAAUGUAUAUGCAUUAGAGUUUCUGAACUCCUAAACUCAGAAGCUUAUAUUCAAUGAUCUUAUUGAAAUUCAGAUAUAAAGUAUGUUCGAAGAAUCUAAGAAGCCUCAGCUGUAGGAUCAUAAUGAUUUUAAAAUUGACUAGGAGCUUGAACUUGUUAAAAUUAGCAUCAAGAUUUUUGUGGACCUUUGAUUUGUAUGAACAGAGAUUAACAACAACCCAAAGAACAAAAAGGAUAUUAAUUUACUUGCUAUUAGGAGAUUCUCAGAGAGGAGAGAUCUAUCUUUCGUGAGAUUUCAGUAAUUGAUUUCUUUAGUCAAUCAGUAAACUCUUAU
RNAcentral lists this long non-coding RNA (2241 nucleotides) under Androctonus crassicauda. The record is from RNAcentral. Lineage: Eukaryota; Metazoa; Arthropoda; Arachnida; Scorpiones; Buthidae.